This 638-nucleotide ribosomal RNA is filed under the name uncultured bacterium. RNAcentral describes it as "bacterial SSU rRNA". The stretch from base 1 to 542 matches the Rfam family "Bacterial small subunit ribosomal RNA", at positions 338 to 873 of the family's 1533-position model. The record is from RNAcentral.
CCUACGGGAGGCAGCAGUGGGGAAUUUUGGACAAUGGGCGCAAGCCUGAUCCAGCCAUGCCGCGUGCAGGAUGAAGGCCUUCGGGUUGUAAACUGCUUUUGUACGGAACGAAAAGGUCUUUUUUAAUAAAGAGGGCCCAUGACGGUACCGUAAGAAUAAGCACCGGCUAACUACGUGCCAGCAGCCGCGGUAAUACGUAGGGUGCAAGCGUUAAUCGGAAUUACUGGGCGUAAAGCGUGCGCAGGCGGUAAUGUAAGACAGAUGUGAAAUCCCCGGGCUCAACCUGGGAACUGCAUUUGUGACUGCAUUGCUGGAGUGCGGCAGAGGGGGAUGGAAUUCCGCGCGUAGCAGUGAAAUGCGUAGAUAUGCGGAGGAACACCGAUGGCGAAGGCAAUCCCCUGGGCCUGCACUGACGCUCAUGCACGAAAGCGUGGGGAGCAAACAGGAUUAGAUACCCUGGUAGUCCACGCCCUAAACGAUGUCAACUGGUUGUUGGGGUCUUUCAUUGUACUCAGUAACGAAGACUACGCGUGAGUGACGCCGUGGGAGGUACGGCCGCGAGGUAGAAACGUACGAAAGUAGUAAGUUAGUACGGCGUAGAGACGUUACGCCGACGGACGACGACGAGGGGAGGUAGG